Long non-coding RNA from Medicago truncatula (barrel medic), 2513 nucleotides. RefSeq lists it as uncharacterized. The transcript has 2 exons. NCBI's taxonomy places the organism in Eukaryota, Viridiplantae, Streptophyta, Magnoliopsida, Fabales, Fabaceae. The record is from RefSeq and is a predicted model, not a curated record.
AAUUGUAAUAACCCGCAUGUAAAAAUUCAGUAUCAGUUAUUUUAUCAUUGGAAAAUUUAAGAGAAGGACAAAAUGGUAACUGUUCACAAAACUUUUCAGGACCGAAUCAUAUUAUUUCAACGGACUAUUGAGAAUGGAAUUUGCCGCUUAAAACUUUUACGACAUUUAAUCGGAUAUUUUAGUUUGAAGAAUAGUAUGAAAAGGGCAAAUUGGUCAUUUACAUAAAAAGGUACAAAUAGAAUAAAACUAAAAAAUUUCCACAUUCUUCUACACUCUUCUCUCACAAAAAAUCAGAACCUCCCUCUUCUCUCUUCCCUCUCCCUCACGUGUUCCUUUCUUUCACUCCCACCAUUACCUAUUUCACUUUUGUAGCAAAACCAAGCUAGAAAUGACAUUUCAUGUUGUAGAAAAGUGAUUUUUGUGUUGUGUUUUGAGCGUUAGAGGCAAGCUUGAGCAAGAAACAAGAAUAUUGAAGCUAGGGUUUGGCUUGGCAAGAAGAUUGAGGCAGGGGCUGAAUGUAAGUAUAAGUGAUUAAUAGCUUAAAUUGAGGUAAAAGUGAUUAUUUUGAGAAGAAAUUCAAGUUAUGUUGAUUGAUUAGAUGUAUAAGUUGUUACUGACUUUGGGAUUCUAUAUGACUCUGUUUUUGGGCUGUUAGUAGUAUAAAUUUUGUUGUUGUUUCUGUUUGGAAUGAAAAGCUAAAAGCCAUAAGUUGUUCCAAAAGCUUCCGUAGUUGAUUAUUGGGUUAAAUAUGUUAGAAUUUCUUUAUGACCGGUGUAGAAGCUGUGUAUACAUAUUUUCUUUGAUUCUGGAAAAUUCGAGUUGAAAUUGAAUUGUCUAGAGGUCAUAAGCUGUCAGUAAGCUGUUUUGGGAAUUUUGCCUUAAAUGACUAAGUUGUGGACUAACCUGCUGUAUAAGUGGUUCAUGGGGCUGAGUAUAUAUGUUGGAACAUCUUUGUUGAAGUCUGGGUCGAAAUUAAUUUGAUAGAAGCCAUAAGCUGCUAAUUAAGCUGUUUGGAAGUGCUUAAAUAGCCAAACGACGUACUUCUGGUGCAAGGACUGAAAUUGAAAUUUUCGUGUAUGCUGGUUGAUGAAGUAAGAGAACGUCACAAAUGAGUUGAGUUAUUUUGGAAAGAGCAAGAGCUAUAAGCCAAGACUUAAGCUAUUUUGGAAAAUGGAUUAUGGAGUUUUGAAGCUAGCAAAAGCUGAAAAUUUUGGAUAAGCUGCUUGCAAUUUCGGGACUAAUGCCAAGACGUACAAGUUAUUAUACAACAUGAUGGUUCGUGAUGAACGAGCAGAAGUCGCUUGAAGUUUCGCGUCAGUAGUGUUAGUGUUACUUCAGAGGUAUAAGACGGGAAUUUUUUUUGUAUCUUAUUCAGAGGAAAUUUUUAUUGUAGUAAUUUUAAUGUAUCCAUUGCCAAGUUUAACACUCAUGCUAGAUAUCCUAGGUAAUUUCUAGUAGGGGUGUUACAUAAAUACUCCCGUUAAACCCGAUGACGGAUACAGGAGUACGUUGGAGAUUAGUCCACCAGUCCAUAUUUUCCUUAGACGGUGAUCAUGUGCAGUAAGGCGUGCAAGUAAUCUUAUGUGUGCCUCAAAUAUGAAGAGUGUUUGGUUAACAGGCCUUGUGUACUAGGACGCUAUUAUGGGCCUAAAUUUAGUCAUAAACAGUUGCCCCCAAAGUCCUUAUAAGUGCACUAUCCCAUUCUAUUUAUCUUUUGGAAUGAAGAUAUGAUCCCGAAAAUUUCAGAAAAUUUGCUCUAUUUGAGAGCUCCAAAUAUGACUCAUUUAUCUUUAGGAAAAGUUUUGUGGAACUGGAAGGCAUUCAAAUUUCAAGCUGAAUCGAAACGAGUUUUAAAAGUUCAUUUCCUCAACUUGAUGAAUUUUGUCUACUCCUCCACUUAUAUAAGCACUUGUUUAUCUCUAGCGUUUCGAUGACUACACUCACACCCGAUUCCAACCAAGUUUUCUAGAAGUUUUGAAGUAUUCACACCAUCUAGUACAACAAAAGCUUUCAUAUUUCUGAGUCUUCUCAUAACAAUAACAGGUACUUUUAGGUCCCUGUCAAGACCAUCAUCUUCCUUGUAAUUGAGUCCAUGCCUUUCUGAUUCUUCUGUCACCUUUCUAAGAAACAUCUACCUUCAAUAAUUUAAACUUGUUUUGUAUCAACUCUGGAAAUAGUUUUUAUCUCGAACGAAAAGCUAUCUAAGUUCACUUGUGUACUUGUAAUUUUGCUUUUGUAAAACUACUUUAAAAAUAUCUUUGAUCAACUCAUGUUCAGCCCUGAGUAAUAUCACGAAAUGUGUUAGGAAAUUAAAAGUGGAAUAGAUUCAUUCUGAUAUGAUAAAAAUAUAAUGUUUUAUACGUUUUAAACAGCACAAAAUUUGAUGAAAAGAAAUCACAGAUAGACAAAUAAAAAUUUGCUCAAUGAAAUCAAAACAUGAGGAAUAAUAUUUGAUACAGAUCGAAGAACAUAAAUCUAACACCGGAAUACACAAAAAAAAAAAAAAAAAAAAA